RNAcentral lists this ribosomal RNA (497 nucleotides) under uncultured bacterium. RNAcentral describes it as "partial 16S ribosomal RNA". It matches the Rfam family "Bacterial small subunit ribosomal RNA", at positions 28 to 507 of the family's 1533-position model. The record is from RNAcentral.
GAUGAACGCUGGCGGCGUGCCUAAUACAUGCAAGUCGAGCGAACGGACGAGAAGCUUGCUUCUCUGAUGUUAGCGGCGGACGGGUGAGUAACACGUGGAUAACCUACCUAUAAGACUGGGAUAACUUCGGGAAACCGGAGCUAAUACCGGAUGAUCUUUUGAACCGCAUGGUUCAAAAGUGAAAGACGGUCUUGCUGUCCCUUAUAGAUGGAUCCGCUCUGCAUUAGCUAGUUGGUAAGGUAACGGCUUACCAAGGCAACGAUGCAUAGCCGACCUGAGAGGGUGAUAGGCCACACUGGAACUGAGACACGGUCCAGACUCCUACGGGAGGCAGCAGUAGGGAAUCUUCCGCAAUGGGCGAAAGCCUGACGGAGCAACGCCGCGUGAGUGAUGAAGGUCUUCGGGUCGUAAAACUCUGUUAUUAGGGAAGAACAUAUGUGUAAGUAACUGUGCACAUCUUGACGGUACCUAAUCAGAAAGCCACGGCUAACUACGUG